GACGAACGCUGGCGGCGUGCUUAACACAUGCAAGUCGAACGGAAAGGCCCUGCUUUUGUGGGGUGCUCGAGUGGCGAACGGGUGAGUAACACGUGAGUAACCUGCCCUUGACUUUGGGAUAACUUCAGGAAACUGGGGCUAAUACCGGAUAGGAGCUCCUGCUGCAUGGUGGGGGUUGGAAAGUUUCGGCGGUUGGGGAUGGACUCGCGGCUUAUCAGCUUGUUGGUGGGGUAGUGGCUUACCAAGGCUUUGACGGGUAGCCGGCCUGAGAGGGUGACCGGCCACAUUGGGAUUGGGAUACGGCCCAGACUCCUACGGGAGGCAGCAGUGGGGAAUAUUGCACAAUGGGCGGAGGCCUGAUGCAGCACCGCCGCGUGCGGGAUGCCGGCCUUCGGGUUGUAAACCGCUUUCGCCUGUGACGAAGCGUGAGUGACGGUAAUGGUAAAGAAGCACCGGCUAACUACGUG
This 467-nucleotide ribosomal RNA is filed under the name uncultured bacterium. Its description in RNAcentral is "partial 16S ribosomal RNA". It matches the Rfam family "Bacterial small subunit ribosomal RNA", at positions 28 to 507 of the family's 1533-position model. The record is from RNAcentral.